GCUACAUAGAGGUUGUAUGCGCUUCUAUUUAGAUAAGAAAGCAAUCAAUGCAAAGAUAUCACAUUCACUCUGAAGUUGUUUGAAUUUCUGAUGAGCCAGAUUUAUAUGCCCUAUGUUCCUUGUAUUAUAAUGUUCCUUGUAGCCUGUCAGCUUUGGAGAUUUUAUUGUUCAUAUAUUGUCUAUAGGUCUAUAUGGAUAUCUCUUGCAGAAUAAUGUGAUUCAUUUUAUUUUUGAAUUUUGAACUUGAAAUGACAUUUGCAAGGGUGUGAUUGCUAAAUUUUUUUUUUCCAUCACCUAAAUAAACAUAACAGUUUUGACCAUUUUCUUUUUAAUCAUGCCUAAUUUGAUGCCAUGCAAGCAAUUUUAUUGUCAUCUCUUUUAUGGCCUUGUUGUAGAUUGAUAUUGUAAGCAUGUUCAUAUGCUCAAACGAGACAGAAGAGACCAAUCACAAUUAUAAAUUGUGCAUUUAUUAAUAUUCUAGAAAUUGUUUCCAGGAUCUGUUAGUUUAUAAAUGCUUAUGAGAUUUCUGCUUGAUUCAUGACAUAUUCACCUGGUUGGAUAUCUUUGCAUAACUAUUUUGGCUGAAAUUUUUAUAACUUUAUGUAGAGGAAGACUCCAUGGUAAUUUCAUGUGCAAAGCAGGAUUAUGAAAUUUAUAAUUGUACAAUUUUUUUUU
This 675-nucleotide unclassified non-coding RNA is filed under the name Hevea brasiliensis (rubber tree). Lineage: Eukaryota; Viridiplantae; Streptophyta; Magnoliopsida; Malpighiales; Euphorbiaceae. The record is from RNAcentral.